UUCAAGCUUCUCGACAUGCACAACGUUGUGAAAAAGUUCCUUCAAACAGGUACACUCCUUCCUCUGCAAUGGGUCUUCUUUUCCAAAAACAAAAAUCAAAAUCAAGGACCUCAUUUACAAGGGACGCCACAUUUCUCAAGUAUAUCCUACGGCAUGACACCAGAAAUUUCAAAUGAAUAUAUGGGGAUAAUAUUUCAAGUGAUAGGUCACAUUCAUCAAUUUCUGAGUUGUCUAUGAUCAAUUUUCUCAACUUCGCAUUGUUGAUUUCAAGACAAUGAACUCCCAAAAAUUGGUACAAUUUCAAGCACUCCAAGUUAGGGCAACCAGAUAAUACCUUUUCCAUGACACCAUCUGUCCAAUCUAUGAACCUAAAUGAAAGAGAAACGACACCACUCCAGUCCACAUUAGCUAAAGGGUUCAAAUUUGUACAUAACUGUAUAUCCAAUUUUCUCCAAGACGUAUUCUUAUAUGCGAACUGAGGAAAUACAUAUCCAUCUUCACAUCUAAGUUUAAAAUGUUCAACAUUAGCUAGUUUACUUGCAAAAUACACCCAUAAAUCGACAUCUUUAACAAAUCUCUCUGGGUCGCGAGUAUCGUAUACGACACUAAAUUUUUUGAUUUUCUGACAACUCCUCCAAUAAUUGAGCUCCAUGAUACAAUGCGUAGAUGAGCGUAGAUGAUUAGGAAUAUUAAAAAGUAGUUAAUACUGUUCAUUAGUCACAAAAACAGUUAUCACUGUUCAUUGUUUGUUAGAGUUGUUAGAAGUAGUUAUUUCAGUAGAUUGUAGCUUUAGCUUUCAAUUCAACUCUAUAAAUACAGAUGUAAUACGAUUGUUAAGGCAUGAAAUGAUAUAUGAUAAUUCUUCUUCUCUCUCUUUUACUAUGUUCUUCUUAGCUUCUAUCUCGAAAUUGCCCUGAUAUAGCUCUCUUCUUCUUCGAGGUUCAGCCUCCUAGUUGAUAUUAUCCUUUCGAUUACUGUUAAUUGGAUCAAUUGGUAUCAGAGCAGCUGGUCCUCGGCUAAGAAAUCAUGGUUGCUCGGGAAAAAAAUCAAAGACAAAUCUUCAGAGGAAAUGGAGGGCAAAAUUGUCUCAGAAUACAGGAACAAUUGCAGAAGUUGAUGGAAGGUAUGGUGAAUAUCAAUGAUAGAAAUGUACAAACAGAUAAGGAAUUAAUGGAGAUCAAGCAAGCCCUAGGAAAUGCGAAACAGAAGGACAAGGAGAUGGAUCAAAAUAGAGUUGAAUCAUCUGUGGGUGGAGACAGAGAACAGGGGUUUUGCAAUGCAGCUGGGAAUUUCCAAAAUUCUAAUGGUAAAUUUCUUACCCGAUGUUCUAAACUUGAUUUUCCUAGAUUUUCGGGAUCGAAUUUGAGGGCAUGGUUAUAUAAGAUGGAUCAGUUUUUUGCCAUGGAUGAAGUUCCAUAUGAUCAGAGGGUGAGAGUAGCUUCUAUCCAUUUGGAUGGUGAAGCUAUUGCUUGGCAUAGAUCAUACUUGAAGUCUAGGAACUCAGUUAUAGACCCUUCUUGGUCUGAGUAUGUGUUGGCUGUUAAUGAAAGAUUUGGGGAGGAAUUUGAAGAUUCCAUGGAAGCUAUUAAAAAUUUACAACAAACUGAGGAUGUUAGAACAUAUCAGGCUGAGUUUGAUAGGUUAUUGAAUGGGGUUAAUUUGUCAAACGAAAAUGCUAUCAGUUGUUUUCUGGGAGGAUUAAAAACUGAGCUCAACAAGGCUGUUAGAAUGCAAGCACCCAAAACCUUAAUGCAAGCCUACAAGUUAGCUAAGUUGCAGGAAGAGGUUUUUGAUGCUCAGGCUAAGUCUUGGGGAAUUAGAAAUAGCAGGAAUCAAAAUGGUCUUCUCCCUACUCCAUCUAGGUUUCAGGUUGUACAAAAACCUACUUUCUCUAGCACAGCUGUCAAGAAACCUUAUGAACCUAAUGCUAACAGGUUCAGUAAUAGUAAUACUUACUGGUAGAAGAUUACUGACUGCUGCUGAGAUGGAUGAGAAAAGGACUAAAAGACUGUGCUUCUUGUGUGAUGAGAAGUAUAUGCCUGGGCAUGUUUGUAAAUCCAAGAAACAGUUAUGGCAUGUUUGUAAAUCCAAGAAACAAUUAUAUUUGGUUGAAGUUCUGGAGAAUGGGGAGGUAAUCAUGGAGGAAGAAGUGUUAGAAGUCGAUGAGUGCAUGACAAUUUCCUUACAAACAUUUACUGGAAGUACAGGGUAUCAAACAAUUCAAGUAACUGAAUACCAUGAAAAACAACCCUUACAGGUGCUUAUUGAUAUAGGUAGUACUCAUAAUUUCAUUGAUGAGUCAAUGACAAGGAAGUUAGGUUGUAAAGCUUUGCCUAUACAUGAGCAAUCAGUUAGUGUGGCUGAUGGUAGGAAGGUUCAAAUUGCUGCAGUGUGUAAAAAUCUGAAGUGGUUACUGCAUGGUACAACUUUUUCUUCUGAUUUCCUACUACUACCAUUAGGGAAUGUUGACAUAGUGUUGGGUGUGCAGUGGUUAAACACUUUGGGUAGGAUUUUGUUUGAUUUCAGAAAUAGAACUAUUAAGUUUGUGCAUCUGAGGAGGAAACAUGUUUUAAGGGGAGCCAGUAGCCAGAUCAAGACCACCAAGGCCCAAUCCUUAAAUAAAAAGAGUGCUGAUUUAGUUCAGGUUUUUAUGCUAACCUUGGUGACAGAUGCAACCUAUGAUAUGCAAUGCAACAAUAUACAAGUAACUCAAGGUACUGAUAUUCAUCCUACAUUAACUGUUUUAAUGGAACAAUACAAGUGCCUCUUUGAUAUGCCUAGUUCAUUGCCCCCUCAUAGAGUUAUCUUUGAUCAUAAAAUACCACUCAUUGACUCAGCUACUCUUGUUAACAAAAGGCUUUAUAGAUAUCCUGGAAUGAAGAAAGAUAUUAUUGAGAAGCUAGUACAAGAAAUGCUAGAUCAAGGUGUGAUACAACCUAGUUCUAGUCCCUAUGCCUCACUUGUAAUCCUUGUUGGGAAGAAAGAUGAGUGUUGGAGGCUUUGUGUAAACUAUAGAGAUCUCAACAAACUGACAGUAAAGGACAAGUUUCCUAUUCCUAUCAUUGAGGAUUUGUUAGAUGAACUAGGAGGAGCUGAAGUGUUCUCUAAGAUUGAUCUUAGAGCUGGUUACCACCAAUUAAGGAUGAAGAAAACAGAUAUCUAUAAGACAGCUUUUAAAACUCGUGAAGGACAUUAUGAAUUUCUGGUUAUGCCAUUUGGUCUUACAAAUGCACCUUCUUCAUUUCAGAGUCUUAUGAAUGUUGUAUUUAAACCACUCCUCAGGAGGUCAGUACUGGUUUUUUUAUGAUAUAUUGGUGUACAACAAGGAUAUGUCAGCCCAUGUGAACCAUUUACAAGUUGUGUUUGAAUUGAUGAAGCAACAAUAGCUGUUUGCCAAAGGUUGUAAGUGUGCUUUUGGAGUACCUGAGGUAGAGUACCUAGGUUAUUUCAUCAGUGCUAAAGGGGUAGCCACUGAUCCUAAGAAGAUUUAUGCAGUACAGGCUUGGUCUGUCCCUAAAAAUAUCAAACAACUGAGAGGGUUUCUUGGUUUAACAGGAUAUCAUUCUGAAUUUUGGAUCCAUUGCUAAACCUCUCACUGAAUUAUUAAAGAAGGAUAAGUUUGUGUGGAAUGAGGGUGCUACUACAACUUUUCAUAUUCUCAAAAAUGAACUAGUGACUGCACCUGUCUUAGCAUUACCAGACUAUGAUAAUCCAUUCAUCAUUGAGACUGAUGCAAGUGGUUCAGGAAUUGGUGCUGUUUUGAUGCAGCAAGGGCAUCCAAUUGCCUAUAUGAGUAAGUCAUUGGCACCUAGACAUCAGGCUAUUUGUGUGUAUGAUAGAGAGCUAUUAGCCAUCAUAUUUGCAGUUACUAAGUGGUCUCAUUACAUAUUAGGAAGACAUUUCAUUGUGAGAACUGAUCAAAAGGCACUAAAACAUCUCCUGGAACAAAGUAUUCAUACUGAUUUUCAAGUUGCUGGUAUUUCUAAAUUGAUGGCCUUUGAUUUUACUAUUGAGUUCAAGAAAGAGACUGACAAUAAGGCUGCUGAUGCCUUGUCAAGAAAUCAAAGUGCUGAGUUGUUGGCUGUUUCACUCUUGACUCCUAAUGACACACUUUUGGAGAGAAUUAGCCUAACAUGGACAUCUGAUGCUGAGUUGCAAGCUGUUAUUCGUAAGUUACAAGCAAAGCCUUAUAAAUUAUAUACCUGGAUUGGUUCUCAACUAAGGUGGAAAGGCAGGCUAGUAGUAGGGUAUGAUUUGCAGUUAAGACAAACCAUUAUUCAGUUGUGGCAUUCAACACCACAAGGUGGCCAUGCAGGUGUGGAUGCAACUAUUAAGAGGCUACAAUCCCUCUUCUACCGGAAGUCAUUGGCAGCUGACGUUCGGAAUUUUAUUCAGAAAUGUGAUAUUUGUCAAAGGCAUAAGUAUGAUACAUUAGCUUACCCUGGACUAAUUCAACCAUUACCUGUUCCUGAUGGUGUAUGGGUUGAUAUCAGUCUNNNNNNNNNNNNNNNNNNNNNNNNNNNNNNNNNNNNNNNNNNNNNNNNNNNNNNNNNNNNNNNNNNNNNNNNNNNNNNNNNNNNNNNNNNNNNNNNNNNNNNNNNNNNNNNNNNNNNNNNNNNNNUGAAUCUGUAGCUCAGUGUUUUUUGGAUAAUGUUUUCAGAUUGCAUGGUGUGCCAGCUUCUAUAGUAAGUGACAGGGAUCCCAUUUUCUUGAGUUCUUUUUGGCAAGAGUUAUUUACAUUACAGGGGGUCUUAUUACAUAAAUCGACAGCAUACCAUCCCCAAACUGAUGGUCAAACAGAGGUUCUUAACAGAACCUUGGAGACAUAUUUGAGAUGUUUUUGCUCUGAUAGUCCUCAUACUUGGGCUACGCAACUACCACUUGUUGAAUGGUGGUACAACACUACAUACCACUCUACUUUGAAAUGUACACCUUUUGAAGUUUUGUAUGGUAAAAAACCACCAAUACACUUGCCUUACUUAGCUGGUGAGUCUUCUAAUGACAUGGUUGAUAGAUCCCUGGAGGCUAGAGAGGUUGUGAUAGCCCUGCUCAAGUUCCAUUUAGCUAGAGCACAACAAAGCAUGAGAGAUAAAGCUAACAAACACUAGUCUGAUAGGCAAUUUAUGGAUGGAGAUUGGGUUUACUUGAAGUUGCAACCUUACAGACAGAUUUCAGUGGCUUCUAGGCCUUUUAACAAGCUUGCUGCAAAGUAUUUUGAUCCUUACUUGGUACUUUCUAGAGUUGGUCAGUAGCUUACAAGUUGCUUUUACCUGCUGAUGUCCUUAUUCAUCCUGUGUUUCAUGUUUCUCAGCUUAAAAAGUGUUAUGAGGUGCCUACAAUUAUUAAUCAUCCCCCUAUUUUACAUCUUUCAAGUCCUUAUUGUCCCAAUCCUGAGUUGAUAUUGGAUAGACGGAUGGUCAAAAAGGGUAAUAAGGCUAUGUGUCAAGUCUUGGUUCAAUGGUCUGGUUUGGAUGCUUCUCAGGCUACUUGGGAGUUCCUAUAUGAGCUGCAGCACAGAUUUCCUGCAUUUCACCCUUGAGGACAAUGGUGGUUUCCAUUGGGGGGUAUUGAUACAAUGCGUAGAUGAGCGUAGAUGAUUAGGAAUAUUAAAAAGUAGUUACUAUUGUUCAUUAGUCACAAAAACAGUUAUCACUGUUCAUUGUUUGUUAGAGUUGUUAAAAGCAGUUAUUUCAGUAGAUUGUAGCUUUAGCUUUCAAUUCAACUCUAUAAAUACAGAUGUAAUACAAUUGUUAAGGCAUGAAAUGAUAUAUGAUAAUUCUUCUUCUCUAUUUCCUGCAUUUCACCCUUGAGGACAAUGGUGGUUUCCAUUGGGGGGUAUUGAUACAAUGCGUAGAUGAGCGUAGAUGAUUAGGAAUAUUAAAAAGUAGUUACUACUGUUCAUUAGUCACAAAAACAGUUAUCACUGUUCAUUGUUUGUUAGAGUUGUUAAAAGCAGUUAUUUCAGUAGAUUGUAGCUUUAGCUUUCAAUUCAACUCUAUAAAUACAGAUGUAAUACAAUUGUUAAGGCAUGAAAUGAUAUAUGAUAAUUCUUCUUCUCUUUGUUCUUCUUAAGCUUCUAUCUCGGAAUUGCCCUGAUAUAGCUCUCUUCUUCUUCGAGGUUCAGCCUCCUAGUUGAUAUUAUCCUUUCGAUUACUGUUAAUUGGAUCAAUCCUUAUGGGUGGAAAUCAAGUAAUCAAGAACAUCCCUUUCCCACUUACCAGGUGGACCGAAAAUAUGAUCGGGGAAUUCGAUUUCAAGUGACACUGGAACUGACAUCCAAAGAAACUGCCAUCGCUUAGAUAAUACACUAGUUCUCACAACUUUUUUACUAUCUUCAGUGUCUUCACACAACAUAGAGAGAAUAUGAAUGAGAAUUCAGUCGGGCAAAUCACUGAGUCUGUCUUCUCUCUUCUUGCUUUUCUUCGCCAUUGGAGAAAUGAAGAACUAAUUUGGGGGUUAGGGAUUUGAAUUAUGGCGGAUUGAAACAACUCAGUUGGAUUAAAACGGAAUUAGGUGGGUCAGGUUAUCACAUUUGGGCGGGUCAAAUUUAAGUUGGCAACAUGGAUUAUUUAAACAGACAAAAUUACCUUUGAACCAUCUGAAAAGGAGCACAUAUACCCUGCGUUUAUUUUUAUAUAAAAAAUACCCCCCUCAUCUAAUUAAAGGAUCACAAAUACCCUCCUUUUAAUGGACUGCCGCUAGAUCUUACCAUUUGACAUCCAACAUGUCAAAAAAUUGCUACAUGACUGUCCACCUAGGCAGCCAGCGUGGGUAAAACACCCUCUCUUUAAAUUGAUGUCUUCUUCUCCUACUAGGUUUUUUAGCCGCAUUGACUGCCUAGGUGGACAAUCAUGUAGGAAAUUUUUUGGCACGUCACUUGCCAAGUAGGAUUAAGUCAUAGUCCAUGAAAGGGAAGGGUAUUUGUAGUCCUUUAGUUAGACGAAAAGGGCAUUUUUAAUACCAAAAAUAAAUGGAAGGUAUCAGGGGUGAACCUACAUAUAGUGUUGCGGGUGCUCGAGUAUCUAUUGACCUCGACGUGAAGUUUACAUAGAUAUACAUAAAUAUUAAGAAAACUGCUAUAUAAUACUAGUGAGCACCCACAGCAUAUAAGCCUUUUGUGGUGCGUAUUGGUUGAUAGCUGGGUGCAAACAUCUCUUGUUUUCGGUGGACGAGGGAUCGAUUCCGUUUUUCUUAUUUUUCUUCAUCUUAGUUCUCAGUGGCGAUUAGUUUACCCAAUUCUAGUUUCUCUUUUCUCUUCACCUUUUUUUUUUUUUUUUUUUUGUUAUCAAAAAGAAAGAAGUAGCUUUUAAAAGAUUUUAAUAAAUUAUUAUUCCUGAAGACUUGAACAGUUCUAAAUUGUUAGAUAGAAGAAGGAAACCAAGGAGUUGAUUCUGGAUAAAGUAAAAAGGUUACAAUGUGGUACAUGCAAACAUAAAAAGAUGUUCAAAGCAUCUGAUAAUUUGUUAGUGACAACAUGAAUCAAAGCAACACUAAGCGGAACUGUUUUAUGAAGGAAAAUAAAUUGUUUGUUAUUUGAUAACAUGAGUAUUUUCUGAUUAUUUGAGUUGUUACGGAAAAGAUUGAUAACACGUGUAAUUUUAUUAUGAUUUCAGUUGUUAGUGAAGAGAUUGAUAACACAUGUAAAUUUUGAUUAUUUGAGUUGUUAGUGAAGAGAUUGAUAACACGUGUAUUUUCUAAUUAUUUGAAUUGUUGGUGAAAAGAUUGAUAACACGUAUGUAUUUUAAUUAUUUCAGUUGUUAGUGAAGAGAUUGAUGACACUUGUAUUUUCUGACUAUUUGAAUUGUUAGUGAAGAGAUUGAUAGCACGUGUAUUUUCCUGAUUAUUUGAGUUGUUAGUGAAGGGAUUGAUGACACUUGAUUUUCGGACUAUUUGAAUUGUUAGUGAAGAGAUUAAAAACACGUGCAAUAAUUAGAAAAUACACGUGUUAUCAAUCUCUUCACUAACAACUCAAAUAAUCAAAAUGUAAAUAUGUUAUCAAUUUCUUCACUAACAACUCAAAUAAUAAUAAAAUUACACAUGUUAUCAAUCUUUUCCCUAACAACUCAAAUAAUCAGAAAAUAUAUGUAUUAUCAAACUCUUCACUAAUACAUCAAGUAAUUUGAAUUAUUGGUGAAAAGAUUGAUAACACGUAUAUAUUUUAAUUGUUUGAGUUGUUAGUGAAGAGAUUGAUAACACUUGUUUUUUCUGACUAUUUGAGUUGUUAGUGAAGAGAUUGAUAGCACGUGUAUUUUUCUGAUUAUUUGAGUUCUUAGUGAAGAGAUUAAAAACACGUAUAAUUUUUUAUUACUUGAUUUUUUUGUGAAGAGUUUGAUAAUACAUAUAUUUUUUAAUUAUUUGAGUUGUUAGUGAAGAGAUUAAUAACACGUAUAUUUUAUUAUUAUUUUUUGAAUUGUUAAAUAAAAAGUUGCACAAUUUUUACAUUGUAUCACGACAAAUGCACAAAUAAAUUCAACCCAACUAUUAAUGAAUGACAUAUAUAAUUAAUGAUAUAUUUAUAUAGGAUAUAUGAAUAUUUCAACCUUAGUACAUGUUCUGGUCCUCACAUUCGUGGAAUAUACUGGAAAUAAAAAUUUUAAAAAUGUAGGAUAAAUAAGUUUUGAGUCUAAUAAUAGAUUAUCUUUUUUUAAAAGAAUUUAAUUUUCUUGUAAUUGUCUAGAUUAGGAUUAUUUUUUUCCAUAAUAUCACGAAACAUUAUUCUUCAAUACUAAUAAUUGAACUCAUAGAAUUUCAACGAAUUCAAUAAAUAAUAGUAGGCCACAGUAUCAUUUACUUCGUUUUGUUUUUAAAACAAUGCACACAAGAGAGAAAGAAGAAAUAUUAAUUGCAACAAAUAUUUUCAAUACUGAUAAUUGAAUAGACAGAAUUUCAACGAACUCAAUAAAUAAUAGUAGACCACAGUAUCAUUUACUUCGUUUUGUUUUAAAAACAAUGCACACAAGAGAGAAAGAAGAAAUAUUAAUCCCAACAAAUAUUUUCAAUACUGAUAAUUUGAACAGGCAAAAUAUCAACGAACUCAAUAAAUGAUAUCAAAUUACACUAUCGUUAACUUUUUUCUGUUUUGUUUUAAAAAUGAUGCACACAAGAGAGAACGACCAACAUCAAUCCCAAUAACUAUUACGGAAAAGGGUCAAAAAUACCCUUAAACUAUCCGAAAUAGAUCAUAUUUACCCUUAAACUAUAUUUCAGCUCAAAACUACCCUUCCCGUCAAACUAUUGGGUCAAAAGAGCCCUUCUUAUUAACGAAAGUUGUUAAAUGCCACAUGGAUGCCAUGUGGAUGCCACAUUGCACGCCAAUAGGAUUCCACUGCCGUAUAGACUAAACGAAAAAGGGUCAAAAAUACCCUUAAACUAUUUGAAAUAGCUCAUAUAUACCCUUAAACUAUAUUUCGGCUCAAAACUACCCUUCCCGUCAAACUAUUGGGUCAAGAAGUACCCUUCUUAUUAACGGAAGUUGUUAAAUGCCAUGUGGAUGCCACAUUGCAUGCCAAUAGGGUUCCACUGCCACAUAGACUAAAUCCCUAAAUCCUAAUUACUCUUUUUUUUCCCCCUCAUUUCAUUAUUUUCCAGAAACGAUUUCACCCUUUCUCCCUCAUUUUGCAGCUAAGGUUUCACAGUUUUCUUUGUAGCUGGAUUUCAAAGUGGAUAUUCGUGGUUUUAGGUUAAUAAUUUUUUUUCUUAUUUUAUUAUGUUUACAAUUUCAAAGCAAAAUAGUUAGGAUUUCACAACUUUCCCCUCAUUUCGCGGCUAGGAUUUCAUAGCUUUCUUCGGGGUUGGGUUUCAAAGUAGAUAUUCGUGGUUGUAGGUUAGUAAAUCUUUUUUCUUAUUUUAUUAUGUUUACGAUUUCAAAGCAUGAUAGUUAGGAUUUCACAACUUUUCCCUCAUUUCACGGCUAGAGUUUUAUAGCUUUCUUUGGGGCAUGGUUUCAAAGUGGAUAUUCGUGGUUGUAAACAUAAUAAAAUAAGAAAAAGAUGUACUAACCUACAACCACGAAUAUCCACUUUGAAAUCCAGCGACUAAGAAAACUGUAAAACCCUAGCUGCGAAAUGAGGGAGAAGGGGUGAAAUCAUUUCUCGAAAAUAAUGAAAUGAGGGGGAAAAAAAGAGUAAUUAAGAUUUAGGGAUUUAGUCUAUGUGGCAAUGGAACCCUAUUGGCGUGCAAUGUGGCAUCCACAUGACAUUUAACAACUUCCGUUAAUAAGAAGGGCACUUUUGACCCAAUAGUUGACGGAAAGGGUAGUUUUGAGCCGAAAUAUUGUUUAAGGGUAAAUUUGAGCUAUUUCGGAUAGUUUAAGGAUAUUUUUGAUCAUUUUCCUUUUAGUCUAUGUGGCAGUGGAACCCUAUUGGCGUGCAAUGUGGCAUCCAUAUGGCAUUUAACAACUUCCAUUAAUAAGAAGGGCACUUUUGACCCAAUAGUUUGACGGGAAGGGUAGUUUUGAGCCGAAAUAUAGUUUAAGGGUAAAUAUGAGCUAUUUCGGAUAGUUUAAGGGUAUUUUUAACCUUUUUCCGUAACUAUUAAUUGUGGGAGGAUGGAGAUGUGUUCUCAUUUUACGUUCACACUUAAAAAUUUUCAAUAAAUAUUAUUAUGUUAAUUUUAUUAACUCCCAUUUACCACAUGGAUCAAAACAACAUUUUUAGUUAAUUAAGGAUCAAAAUGUUGGUCAAGCUACUAAAAAUACUUAUUUUAAAAUUGAGGCGUAAAAUCAAACUUUUACGAAAAACGUAAGUAUUUUUGCAUAAUAACAAAAACAUUUUUGAGAAGAUAAAAAUGGUAGCUUUUCCCAAAGAACACUGUUGGAAUCUUGAUCAAAUACAAACUAUUGCUCUCUAAAAGAAUUUUUUUAAAACGAGCUUUUUCAAAAAAAAUUAUGUUUGAAAAAUAAGUUGAUUUUGUAAGUUUUGCUAAUCAAAAUUGUCAUAGCACAAAAUUCAUAAUUUUCCCUCAUAAAUCUGUAACCUUAUUAUGAUUUUGUUUUGGAAAAUGUACAAGUACCCCCAAACUAUGAACGAAAUUACAGAAACACACCUUAACUAAACUAAGGUCCUAUUACCCCUGAACCCAUUUUUUAAAUAAUUUUGUGCACCUUUUUGGCUUACGUGGCAUCCAAAUAUCUCACACGCGCCUCAAUUGCACAGAUCAUGGAGUGUGCCACGUAAGCCAAGAUGAUACUGGUAUAUCGUAUAGAACACUAAAUUUUUUGAUUUUGUGACAAGACCUCCAAUAAUGAAGCUCCCUAUUGGUGGAAUUCAAGUAAUCAAGAACAUUCCUUUCCCACUUACUGCGUGUGCUGAAAUAGCAAUCAUGUGGGAAUUGGAAAUCAAGUGAUACUGAAACAGACAUCCAAAGAAACUGCCAUUGCUUAGAUAAUACGCUCGUUCUCACUAAUUCUUUACCAUUUUCAGUGACUCCACACAUCAUAGAGAAAAUGUGAAUUACAAUUGAGUCCGGCAAAUCGGUGAGUCGGUCUACUCUCUUCUUGCCUUUUUUGGCCAUUGGAGACUGGAGGAGGAGAAAUGAAGAUUUGGAUUAUGGCUGAUGAUUGAAACCAGGGGUGUGCAUUCAGUUUAUGGAUUUUCGGAUUUUAAAUACACUAAUCAAAAUAAUUAAACCAAUAAAAAAUUAGUUUUGAUUUUUUAUUUAACCAAUAAGAAAAUGCUAUUAUAAUAGCAAAUCAUAUUAUCAUUUAUUUUUUUCUGAUUUGUUUCAGAAAACGAUGCACACCAGAGAGAGAAGUAAUAUCAAUCCCAACAACUAUUAAUUGUCUGACUUGGAGAAUGGAGAUGUGUUCUCAUUUUAAGUUCACACCUAAAAGGAUGAAUCAGAGCCCACACAUAUAAUAGCAAAACAACAAUUAUAGAACUUUUUUUCUAACAAAUUUAUACCACUAGACAGAAUGUCUACCGUUACAUUUUUUUUAUUAAUACAAAAUCAACCUUGUCUGUAAAAUAUGCAAAACAUAUGAGCUUGCAAAAAUAAUAAAACCUAGUAGUAUCAAUUUAGAGCUUAUAAUAUACUCUAGUUUUCACAUUACAAUCAAAGAGCUAUUUCCCGGAAGAAAUGACUCUACACCAAACUUCUUGGGCAGCCAACUGGAAGACAACUUGGCUCAAUAGAACUACUUAUGUGCUUCGAAAAUUACAUUGCUCAAGAAGUUAUCUGUUACAUCUGAAUGGAAACGAAGCUCAUAUAUCUCCUCCUCUUGUACUGUUGCUUACAUGAUGGUUAGAGAAUGAGCACUUGGUUACUUGGACAUGAAGAAAGCACUAAUAACUCCUUCGAUACUGACAAGUGCAGUCCAAGCCUUGUCGAUCGGCUCAAACCAAUUUCAAACAUUAAGUAAUAACUAUUAAGUAUGUUGCGAUUAAUAAAACAAUAGGGGCCCAAGGUUAUUAUCUAUAAGAAAAGAUAACUGAAGCUUGCGGAGAGGAUCUUGGAAUGCUCAGGAGCUCCUGUGCCCUUUUGACAUAAUACAAAUCACUCUUUUUGUAUUUGGCAGCAAUGAUGAACUUUUCAAGAACUACUGCAUGCUUGAGCAAGUAUUUCACCAAUGGCAUCACAGAUACAGAAAACUCAAGGAUCUUGAUAGUCUUCAGAUGUAGAAAUGAGCAGUUGAGAUCAUGUGUCUCAAACCUCCUAAUCUGUUUAUCCGUAUUUGUGUACCUUAACAACAGGGCCUGUAGGAGAGAAUACGUUAUAUUAACCUAUUAUUAUCCUUAGAUAGAAGCAGGAAGCCAAGGAAUUGAUUAUCUAUUCCUUAGCAAAUGUUAUGAUGUGGUACAUUCAAACAAUAAAAAGAUGUUCAAAGCAUCUGCGCAAAUAUACCCUCACAUGAAGGUGAGUACGAUCACUAGUUAAACAUCUUUUUCCAACAACUACAAAAAGUUUAAUCAUAGAGUCUAUUUCAAUAGUGACAACAUGAAUCAAAGCAACACAAGCUGAACAUUUUAUGAAAAAAUUAAAUUGGGAGAACAAAAAUGUUCUUCUGAACGACUUACAAGACAAAGGAAUCAUAAGCACGCAGAUGCAACAGAUUUAUUAACAAAGAGAUAUCAUUAACUUUUGAGACUAGAAAAGCAGAAUUUGAACAAAAAAUAUGACUGAAGCAUUUGCACUUUCUAUGGGCUUAAAUGGUGUCUUGAUCAUCGUACUAGAAGCAUUUGGGUGGAUGCUAACUCCUUACUUAUUGUGAAUGUUGUCAAGCGAGUUGCAAAACCUUCUUGGCAAUAUGAACCUACUGUUGAAAAGAUUAAAGAGUUGAUUGAUAAGUCGAGGUGACACACUAAUAUAGAGAAGCCAAUGGUGUGGCUGAUUCUUUAGUUGGAUAAAGUCACCUAUUGGACGCUAAGAAGGGACGACAAAAGGCAGCUUCCUUCCCAAUUAGAUCUUUUUGUGAUCUCACAUGUUACUUGAGAAAACUCUUCACUUUUUCUCCUAUUUCAAUCUCUUAUGGAAACAAUGCACAAGGGAGCAAGCACGUCUCCACAAAUUAGAAGCUAUUGUAUAGUAACAAAUGUAAAGGUCCACGUCCAAAGGGAACUUACUCUUGAUUCUCCAUACCCAUCAACGACUAAAGUCUCAAGAUCUGAUGAACUCUGUAGAAAACUGCAAAUUCCAGGGAAAUCCAAUUGCCUCAAGGUUGUGCUAAGUUGUAAGAAUUUCCAGCUUGAUGGUGGAGGCUGCCACCCUUCCAAUUCCAGUAUGGACAGGUACUUAAUAGAGAAACCAGAAUAUGUCAAAACAAGGAAAUGUUGCAUACUUAAAUUGUUAAACAAUGUUCAAAGAUUGGUUUGGAGAUCCAAAAAUGGACUUUUAAGCACUUUGAAAAACAUUUCACAUGACCAAAAGAUUCUGAUCAAUUAAAUGAAUUUAACUUUUACAAACCAUUUAUUCUCAGUGUUCAUCAUCCAAAAUUUUGUCCAAAAGGUCUUGUUUCAAUCAUCUGCCACUUAGCAACUAGACCAGUACAAGAGUGUACUUACAAAAUUGGUUAUCAGAUUAUCCUAAGCACUGUCACUAUUAAUGUUACUAAACAAAUGAAUUCAAUUGCAAAUAUAUUCUGAAUUUUGGAUAGUGAAGGGUAUGAAUAAACCUGGAUGCACCAGGGACCUAAUUCAAGCUUCUCAACAUGGGCAACGCUGUGAAAAAGUUCCUUCGAACAGGUACACUCCAUCCUCGGCAAUGUGUCUUCCUCUUCAAUAUAACAAUCAAAUUCAAAAUUAAGGACCGUAUUGACAAGCGAAGCUACAUUUCUCAAGUAUAUCUCACGGCACGACCCCAGAAUUUUCAAAUUUUGACUAAUAAUUAAAGCGAUAAGUCACAUUGGUCAGUUUCUGAGUUGUCUAUGAUCAAUUUUCUCAACUUCACAUUGCUGAUUUCCAAACGAUGAACAUCAACAAAAUGGUACAAUUUCAAACACUCCAAGUUAGGGCAACCAGAUAAUACAUUUUCCAUGACACCAUCCGUCAAAUACAUGUACCUUAAUGAAAGAGAAACCAUACCACUCCAGCUCACAUUGGCUGAAGGGUUCAAUGUUUCACCUAACUGUAUAUCCAACUUUCUCCAGGACAUAUUCUUAAAUGCGAACUGAGGAAACUCAUAUGCACCUUCAUAUCUAAGUCUAAAAUGUUCAACAUUUGCUAGUUUACUUGCAAAAUACACCCAUAAAUGGACAUCUUUAACAAAUCUCUCUGUGUAGCUAGAAUCGCAAUUGACACUAAAGUUUCU
Molecule: long non-coding RNA, 14742 nt
Filed under: Solanum tuberosum (potato)
Lineage: Eukaryota; Viridiplantae; Streptophyta; Magnoliopsida; Solanales; Solanaceae
Description: long non-coding RNA (STUB_LNC007856)
Source: RNAcentral